This 85-nucleotide transfer RNA is filed under the name Aspergillus candidus. It matches the Rfam family "tRNA". Rfam says of the family: Transfer RNA (tRNA) molecules are approximately 80 nucleotides in length. Their secondary structure includes four short double-helical elements and three loops (D, anti-codon, and T loops). Further hydrogen bonds mediate the characteristic L-shaped molecular structure. tRNAs have two regions of fundamental functional importance: the anti-codon, which is responsible for specific mRNA codon recognition, and the 3' end, to which the tRNAs corresponding amino acid is attached (by aminoacyl-tRNA synthetases). tRNAs cope with the degeneracy of the genetic code in two manners: having more than one tRNA (with a specific anti-codon) for a particular amino acid; and 'wobble' base-pairing, i.e. permitting non-standard base-pairing at the 3rd anti-codon position. Lineage: Eukaryota; Fungi; Ascomycota; Eurotiomycetes; Eurotiales; Aspergillaceae. RNAcentral also lists the same sequence under 1 other name. The record is from Rfam by way of RNAcentral.
GUCUGGGUGGCGCAACUGGUUAGCGCGUUCGACUGUUAAACAACGGUUUAUCGAGAGGUUGUGAGUUCGAGCCUCACCCUGGACG